GCGGAGGGAUCAUUACACAAAUAUGAAGGCGGGCUGGAAUCUCUCGGGGUUACAGCCUUGCUGAAUUAUUCACCCUUGUCUUUUGCGUACUUCUUGUUUCCUUGGUGGGUUCGCCCACCACUAGGACAAACAUAAACCUUUUGUAAUUGCAAUCAGCGUCAGUAACAAAUUAAUAAUUACAACUUUCAACAACGGAUCUCUUGGUUCUGGCAUCGAUGAAGAACGCAGCGAAAUGCGAUAAGUAGUGUGAAUUGCAGAAUUCAGUGAAUCAUCGAAUCUUUGAACGCACAUUGCGCCCUUUGGUAUUCCAAAGGGCAUGCCUGUUCGAGCGUCAUUUGUACCCUCAAGCUUUGCUUGGUGUUGGGCGUCUUGUCUCUAGCUUUGCUGGAGACUCGCCUUAAAGUAAUUGGCAGCCGGCCUACUGGUUUCGGAGCGCAGCACAAGUCGCACUCUCUAUCAGCAAAGGUCUAGCAUCCAUUAAGCCUUUUUUCAACUUUUGACCUCGGAUCAGGUAGGGAUACCCGCUGAACUUAA
RNAcentral lists this ribosomal RNA (534 nucleotides) under Alternaria alternata. RNAcentral describes it as "eukaryotic LSU rRNA". The stretch from base 181 to 334 matches the Rfam family "5.8S ribosomal RNA". The record is from RNAcentral. Lineage: Eukaryota; Fungi; Ascomycota; Dothideomycetes; Pleosporales; Pleosporaceae.